AUGGCAGCAGUAUACCACAACAUUCAUCAAACUGCGCAGUGCGAUGUUAAUUCAGUUAUGAAGCUGAAAAUAGACAUUGCAUAUGGAAUUCGGGGACAAUUUGCUCAUGUCAGCAUUGCUUCUGGGCGCUCUGGCCAUGGAGAAAAAGUUUCCUGCUGUGGUAGAGAAGACGAGGAAUCGACGGAGUGCACUCUGACGGCUUGCAUCCGUUCUUCAUUCACGUCGGCGAAAAUUGCGACCCUCAUUCCGUUUUGUUGCUCGCUCUCGCCUGUCGACUCCUCGCCUUUGGUGGGAGUGCAACUGUUGAUGCGAUAG
Molecule: ribosomal RNA, 315 nt
Filed under: Triticum aestivum (bread wheat)
Lineage: Eukaryota; Viridiplantae; Streptophyta; Magnoliopsida; Poales; Poaceae
Description: partial small subunit ribosomal RNA
Source: RNAcentral